GCCGAAAUAGCUCUUGUUGGGAGAGCGUCAGACUGAAGAUCUGAAGGUCCCUGGUUCAAUCCCGGGUUUCGGCA
RNAcentral lists this transfer RNA (74 nucleotides) under Gasterosteus aculeatus (three-spined stickleback). It matches the Rfam family "tRNA". Rfam says of the family: Transfer RNA (tRNA) molecules are approximately 80 nucleotides in length. Their secondary structure includes four short double-helical elements and three loops (D, anti-codon, and T loops). The record is from Rfam by way of RNAcentral. Lineage: Eukaryota; Metazoa; Chordata; Actinopteri; Perciformes; Gasterosteidae.